GUCGAGCGCGCCCUUCGGGGUGAGCGGCGGACGGGUUAGUAACGCGUGGGAACAUACCCUUUUCUACGGAAUAGCCUCUGGAAACGGAGAGUAAUACCGUAUGAGCCCUUCGGGGGAAAGAUUUAUCGGGAAAGGAUUGGCCCGCGUUAGAUUAGGUAGUUGGUGGGGUAAUGGCCUACCAAGCCUACGAUCUAUAGCUGGUUUUAGAGGAUGAUCAGCAACACUGGGACUGAGACACGGCCCAGACUCCUACGGGAGGCAGCAGUGGGGAAUCUUGGACAAUGGGGGCAACCCUGAUCCAGCCAUGCCGCGUGAGUGAUGAAGGCCUUAGGGUCGUAAAGCUCUUUCGCCUGUGAAGAUAAUGACGGUAGCAGGUAAAGAAACCCCGGCUAACUCCGUGCCAGCAGCCGCGGUAAUACGGAGGGGGUUAGCGUUGUUCGGAAUUACUGGGCGUAAAGCGCACGUAGGCGGACUGGAAAGUAUGGGGUGAAAUCCCAGGGCUCAACCCUGGAACUGCCUCAUAAACUAUCAGUCUAGAGUUCGAGAGAGGUGAGUGGAAUUCCAAGUGUAGAGGUGAAAUUCGUAGAUAUUUGGAGGAACACCAGUGGCGAAGGCGGCUCACUGGCUCGAUACUGACGCUGAGGUGCGAAAGUGUGGGGAGCAAACAGGAUUAGAUACCCUGGUAGUCCACACCGUAAACGAUGAAUGCCAGUCGUCGGGUAGCAUGCUAUUC
RNAcentral lists this ribosomal RNA (733 nucleotides) under Ruegeria sp. AU101B_Ted2_MB. Its description in RNAcentral is "bacterial SSU rRNA". It matches the Rfam family "Bacterial small subunit ribosomal RNA", at positions 61 to 841 of the family's 1533-position model. Lineage: Bacteria; Pseudomonadati; Pseudomonadota; Alphaproteobacteria; Rhodobacterales; Roseobacteraceae. The record is from RNAcentral.